Molecule: ribosomal RNA, 426 nt
Filed under: uncultured Opitutus sp.
Lineage: Bacteria; Pseudomonadati; Verrucomicrobiota; Opitutia; Opitutales; Opitutaceae
Description: bacterial SSU rRNA
Rfam family: Bacterial small subunit ribosomal RNA
Source: RNAcentral
UGGGGAAUAUUGGACAAUGGGCGAAAGCCUGAUGGUGCGACGCCGCGUGAGGGAUGAAGGUCUUCGGAUUGUAAACCUCUGUCACCGGGGAAGAAACGCUUUGAGUUAAUAGUUCAAAGCCUGACUUAACCCGGAGAGGAAGCAGUGGCUAACUCUGUGCCAGCAGCCGCGGUAAUACAGAGACUGCAAGCGUUAUUCGGAUUCACUGGGCGUAAAGGGUGCGCAGGCGGCCGAGUGUGUGAGGCGUGAAAGCCCGAUGCUUAACAUCGGAAUUGCACCUCAAACUACACGGCUAGAGCAUUGGAGAGGGUAGCAGAAUUCAUGGUGUAGCAGUGAAAUGCGUAGAUAUCAUGAGGAAUACCAGAGGCGAAGGCGGCUACCUGGACAAUUGCUGACGCUCAGGCACGAAAGCGUGGGGAGCAAAAG